Podarcis lilfordi (Lilford's wall lizard) is the source of this 66-nucleotide non-coding RNA. The record is from the annotation of a GenBank genome assembly. Lineage: Eukaryota; Metazoa; Chordata; Lepidosauria; Squamata; Lacertidae.
GGAAUAGCUCAGUCGGUAGAGCAUGCGACUCUUGAUCUCAGGAUUGUGGGUUUGAACCCCACAUCA